GACGAACGCUGGCGGCGUGCUUAACACAUGCAAGUCGAACGAAGAGCGAUGGAAGCUUGCUUCUAUCAAUCUUAGUGGCGAACGGGUGAGUAACGCGUAAUCAACCUGCCCUUCAGAGGGGGACAACAGUUGGGAACGACUGCUAAUACCGCAUACGAUCUAACCUCGGCAUCGAGGAAAGAUGAAAGGUGGCCUCUAUGUAUAAGCUAUCACUGAAGGAGGGGAUUGCGUCUGAUUAGCUAGUUGGAGGGGUAACGGCCCACCAAGGCGAUGAUCAGUAGCCGGUCUGAGAGGAUGAACGGCCACAUUGGGACUGAGACACGGCCCAGACUCCUACGGGAGGCAGCAGUGGGGAAUCUUCCGCAAUGGACGAAAGUCUGACGGAGCAACGCCGCGUGAGUGAUGACGGCCUUCGGGUUGUAAAGCUCUGUUAAUCGGGACGAAAGGCCUUCUUGCGAAUAGUGAGAAGGAUUGACGGUACCGGAAUAGAAAGCCACGGCUAACUACGUG
This 510-nucleotide ribosomal RNA is filed under the name uncultured bacterium. RNAcentral describes it as "partial 16S ribosomal RNA". It matches the Rfam family "Bacterial small subunit ribosomal RNA", at positions 28 to 507 of the family's 1533-position model. The record is from RNAcentral.